RNAcentral lists this RNase P RNA (419 nucleotides) under Ignavibacteria bacterium CG2_30_36_16. Its description in RNAcentral is "RNase P RNA component class A". It matches the Rfam family "Bacterial RNase P class A". From Rfam's summary of the family: Ribonuclease P (RNase P) is a ubiquitous endoribonuclease, found in archaea, bacteria and eukarya as well as chloroplasts and mitochondria. Its best characterised activity is the generation of mature 5'-ends of tRNAs by cleaving the 5'-leader elements of precursor-tRNAs. Lineage: Bacteria; Pseudomonadati; Ignavibacteriota; Ignavibacteria. The record is from RNAcentral. RNAcentral also lists the same sequence under 1 other name.
AGACCAGCCGGGGCAAUUGCUGUCCCAUUCGGGAGAGAGGAAAGUCCGAACUUCGCAGAACAGGAUGCCGGGUAACGCCCGGGAGUUAGAAGCGUAAGUUUUUAACUACGGAAAGUGCCGCAGAAAAUAUACCGUCCCGCGUUAGCGGGAUAAGGGUGAAAUGGCAGGGUAAGAGCCUACCGCGGUAAUGGUAACAUUGCCGGUCCCUUUUGGGAUUUCGCUUAACGGCGGAACAAGGCAAACCCCAUCCGAAGCAAGGUCAAGCAGGAAGUCUUUCCACUUUUGUGGAACAAGGUUGUUCGCCCUGCACGGCUUCCGGGUAGACCGCUUGAGGUAUGAAGCAAUUCAUAUCCUAGAUAAAUAAUUGCCUUCCCUGCUUGCAGGGGAUACAGAAUUCGGCUUAUACGGUUGUUCUAUUU